Molecule: unclassified non-coding RNA, 261 nt
Filed under: uncultured fungus
Lineage: Eukaryota; Fungi
Description: sequence contains ITS1
Source: RNAcentral
GUAUUGAUUGCGUGUUAUCGCAAAAAUGGGGGUCAUUCUACACUUUUAAAAUAGGGGUUUGUGUGAAAACGCAAGCCCCCCUCCCGGAUCGGUUUGAUCCCAAAGGGUUGCCCACGCGGUGGUGCACAAAAGGGUGAGAUGGAUUUCACGCAAGAGGACGCCCUCCCGGCGUGCACAACCCUUUCGAGUUGGCGACAGCCUUCGAGCGCCUCCCACGUCUUUGUUACGAUAAUGAUCCUUCCGCAGGUUCACCUACGGAAA